RNAcentral lists this unclassified non-coding RNA (4422 nucleotides) under Actinia tenebrosa (Australian red waratah sea anemone). RNAcentral describes it as "dNA repair protein RAD50-like, transcript variant X1". Lineage: Eukaryota; Metazoa; Cnidaria; Anthozoa; Actiniaria; Actiniidae. The record is from RNAcentral.
UUAAGCGCGGGAAGAAACAAGAUGUCUUCAUUCUGAGCCAUAUCUCGCCAGGUAUCUUUUUCUGCUGUAUAUUAACUAUAUUGUCCAGUAUGUCAUCCAUUGAGAAAUUAAAGAUUCAAGGCAUUAGGAGCUACUCCCAGAAUGAACCUGCUGCUAUAGAAUUCUUUAAACCNUUAACAUUGAUUGUUGGUUCCAAUGGAGCAGGAAAGACUUCCAUCAUUGAAUGCCUGAAAUAUGUGACAACAGGUGAUUUGCCGCCAGGAAGCAAGAACUCCUACUUUGUCCAUGAUCCAAAGGUUGCAGGGGAGCAAGAGAUUAAAGGGCAAGUAAAGCUGAUGUUUAAAGACAUCACUGGUAAAACUGUUGUAGUUACAAGAGCUUUGAUAUCUCAACAAAAGGGUAAAAAACUUGAAACCAGAAGUCUAGAGAGUGUCAUCAAAAAAGAUAUACAUGGAGAGAGACGAAGCUUGAGUUCCAAAUGUGCUGAAGUGAAUCAUGAAAUGAUUUCUAUGCUUGGAGUCUCUAAAGCUGUGCUGGAGAAUGUUAUAUUCUGUCACCAAGAAGAUUCUAAUUGGCCUCUUAGUGAAGGAAAAGCCUUGAAGCAAAAGUUUGAUGAAAUCUUUGCUGCAACAAGAUACAUUAAAGCCCUUGAAGCCAUACGCAAGCUGAGACUUGAACAAGGUAGAANUGUAACCAAGUGUGAAACAGAACUAAAAUACCUGAAGGAAAACAAAGAUAAGGCACAAGAGAUUGCUGAGCAGUUGGAAAAAUCUCAAGGGAAAAUAGAAGCCACUAGAGAUUCUAUUNUUAAGAUAUCAAGAAACUUAGAGCCGGUGGAGAUAAGAUUGACAGAGAUUGAACAAAUUGCAGUGGAAGUUAGUCAGCUGCAAAAAGAAAAAGAGCUGUUGAUGGCAAAGAAGGAACAGUUGGCAGAUAUGGAGCAAGAUCUUUUACAAAACAUUACAGAUGUCUUUACAGGUUCUACAGAAGAGCUACAAGGGAUUUACCAGGAUUUUCAGAACAAAAUCAAAGAAAAGAAUGAGCUUCUAAAACAGAAAGAGAAUGAGCAUCAACAUCUUGUUGCUAAGCAGCAAGAGUUAUCCAAUCAAAAGAGUUCCAUAUUGCAAGAGCAGGGAAAACUGGAGCAACAAGCACAAAGACACCAAACUAACCUAGGGGACAGAGAUCNCAUGGUUUCGACACUUGCAAAUUAUUAUGAAAUUCAAGGUUACAGCAAGACACCUUUUACAGAAGCACAAGUGGACAGAUUUAUUGAAGAUNUUAAAAAGAAUUAUGCAAAUAUUGUGGAAGAAACUAAACAACAAAAGGAGUUGUUUAAGAACAAGAUAGAAGUGGUCCAGAAAAAGAUUGAUGACAUCAAGAGAAGUCAAGCUGAGUAUGGUGAGACAAUCAGGUUGAAGAAAANGUUGAUGGGAGACAAUCAAAGAGAACUGAAAGCCAUUGGUCAGGAACUUAGUAAUGUGAAUGCAUCUGCCAACAGACUGAAAUCACUUGAUGCUGAAUUGCAGCNUGCGAUGAAAGAACUUGAAGAAGCUAAUGAGCUUGGAAAUGUUGAUGAAAUGAAUGCAGAAAUAGAAAAACUUCAGAAUGACAAGCGUCAAGUUGAUGGAGAACUGAGCAGGUUGAGAGAAGAGCAACAGACCAUGCAUUUCCACUCUACCACAAAAACAAAACUGGACAUGCUCAUUAAAGAAAAGAUUGAAAAAGAAGAUAAUAUACAAAAACUAAUGAACAAGCAUGAUGAAGACAUCAAAACUAUAAUUGGUGGUACAGGAACGAGUGAAAGUCUUAGUGACAAGCUGGGUCAGUACCUACGAAACAAGGGCAAGGAGCUACAAGACACCAGAAACAGAAUGCAAAGAAUAAAACAAGCUCAGUCUGCUAAAGAAGCCAACAAAAAGAACAUUGAAGACCAGCUGAAAAGAAAGGUUGACCAAGCUGCAACAUAUAAACAACAGCUGAAGGAUGCUUGUGGGGAAAAUGACUACAACACGAUGAAAGAACAGCUGAGUGAACAGAUAUCGUNUUUGAGAAACGAAAAGGGUCUGUUUUCUUCAAUCGAGAAAAUCUACAAGAAGUACAUCAAAAAGCUUCAAGAAGAAAGUGUGAAAGAAGAAGGAUGUCCUCUAUGUCAUCGCUGCUUUGACUCCAGUAAACAGAUCAAAAGUCUCAUAGCUGAGCUUAAUGAGAAAGUGGUACAUCUUCCUGCCAAAAGAGAGGAGAAUGACAUCCUUUUGGAUCAAGAAGAAAGACGCUACGAAAAGAUCUUAAAACUGGGCCCAAUUAAAGAAAAUCUUGAAAAGAUCGAGACAUCAGAAAUACAAGAAGCCAAGUCGAGACUUGCUGACAUCUCCAAAGACUUGGAGAAAAUGGAAGCACAGAUCAUGGAACUGGAGGAUGUCUACAGCUUGACUGAGAGUGAGGAAAUGACUGCAAGACAAAUGGAACCUGAUCUACGUGAAGUAGAAAACUAUAAAAGAAGCUUGAAAGAUCUUGACAAGAACAUCUCUCUCUAUCAAUCNCAGCUGCAAGGGAUAGCUCCUGGCCGCACCAUGCAAGCAGUAACAAAUGAAAUCACGGACAGACAGGAUCGAUCAGAGACCCUAGACCGUCAUAUUGACCGCCGCAGACGCGCACUAACCCAGCUUCAAAGACAGCUUACCACACUUACGUCCAACGUUCACGAUCUCAAGUCAAAAAAGCUAAAACUAAAUGAACAACUGCAGCGACGAACUCACCUGGAAGAACAAAAGGCAGAAUUGACCNCCAAGAACGACGCGUUCGCACGAGAAAUUAAGGAUGCAGAGGCCCAGUCACAACCCAUUCAGGUGAUGCUUGACGAGGAAGAGAGGAAGAAACACAAUAUUGUUGUGGCUAAAGAAGCGAUGGAGGAAGAGAAGCGCAUACUGCUGACUGAUAUGAAGAAUAAUGGAGAAAGACUAAGUGAAAAGAUAUCAGAGAUAAAAAGAUACACAAGUCAAGGAGGUGAAUCAGCCUUGCAGGACAACCAGGAAAGACUCAAGGCUGUUGAAGACAGAGAAAAACAGAUCCACCGAAAGAAACUGGGAAUAACCGAGAUUAUCGACUCGUUCAAGGAAGACAUCUCUAAACAGGAAAUAAAAUCGCGCGACAUAGAAGACAAUUUGAAACUCAAAAGCACUCAGAAGGAUAUUCAAAACAUNGAAAAUAAGAUCGAAAGUGUGGAAGGAAAGCUUGAUCAAUAUNGUGAUCCACGAAGUCUGAACAGCGAAAGAUCGAGACUACAUCGACAACUAGAUGACUUGCACAAAGAGAAAUCUCAUCUUGAAGGAAGACAAAAAGGCUUCGAGGAUGAGAUACGAAGAUACCAGACUGAAUUACGAAGCAACAUGUAUAACAACGCGGAAGAAAAACACAGACAGAAGAUCAUUGAAAUGAAGACUACUCAAAUGGCUAGCGUGGAUCUGGACAAAUAUUACAAGGCUCUUGACAGAGCGAUAAUGAAGUAUCAUAGCUUGAAAAUGGCUGAGAUCAAUAAGAUUAUUAAGGAAUAUUGGAUCAACACCUACAAGGGUGGUGAUAUUGANACUAUUGAGAUUCGUUCAGAUGAAGAAGAAGGUAGCGGUGCAUCUAAAGCAAGGCGAACAUACAACUAUAGGGUCGUGAUGAUCAAAGGAGACAUCGCAUUGGACAUGAGGGGACGAUGCAGUGCAGGACAAAAGGUGCUUGCAUCCCUGAUCAUCAGACUAGCAUUAGCAGAGACAUUCUGCUUGAACUGUGGUAUAUUUACCUUAGACGAGCCAACCACCAACCUUGAUGAGAGUAACGUCUACAGUCUUGCUGAUCAGCUUGCUACCGUGAUACGCACUCGACAGNCUCAGCGUAAUUUCCAGCUGGUCGUCAUCACUCAUGACGAGGAAUUCGUCGACACUCUUGGCCGAGCAGAUUUUGUUGACUAUUACUACAAAAUCUACAAAAAUGACAGCGGGUUUUCUAAGAUCGCUAAGCAGAGUGUGGCAUCCUUACAGAGAGAGGCGUCUUACGUUGAAUGAAUCGGUAUUUCAUGGAUACAAAUAGAUGUACAUUAAGUGGCCAUCUUGGUCAAAUUAUCACUGUCACGUGGCUAUCANGUUAAACACACAUGCUGUCCUACCCGACAGUUCUUAGAAUAGUGUUGCAAGAUGUCGUUGAUUCUUGGUUGUUGACUUAUUAUACCAGUCAGUAUGGCUGGGUUGUACUGUUGUCGUUAUAUCCAGGAUAAGUAGCGCUAAAUACACACCUACCUCAUGAUCAGUCGCGAAAAUAACUUGUGCAGUUUUGUUAGCUUUAAUAAAAUAAAUUACUGGUCGUCAGUUCAAACUGAAAUCCUUGUCAUCUUAUUGUUACAUCUUUGGAAUAAACGCUUUCUUGGUUGAACGUAAA